UACGGAGGGUGCGAGCGUUAAUCGGAAUGACUGGGCGUAAAGGGUGCGUAGGCGGUUGAUUAAGUUAUCUGUGAAAUUCCUGGGCUUAACCUGGGGGGGUCAGAUGAGACUGGUUGACUUGAGUAUGGGAGAGGGCAGUGGAAUUUCCGGUGUAGCGGUGAAAUGCGUAGAGAUCGGAAGGAACACCAGUGGCGAAGGCGGCUGUCUGGCCUAAUACUGACGCUGAGGCACGAGAGCGUGGGGAGCAAACAGG
Molecule: ribosomal RNA, 253 nt
Filed under: uncultured bacterium
Lineage: Bacteria
Description: partial 16S ribosomal RNA
Rfam family: Bacterial small subunit ribosomal RNA
Source: RNAcentral